CGUUUCGGUGGUGCCGGAUCGGAACAAUGAGCAUGCGUGAGACGCGCCAACAGCCGCUACUUUAUUUAUUUUUAUGACCUACGACAUUCGUAGGUGCAUACAUUACCGAUAUUGUCUUCGCUCCUGCUCCAUACUUUACUUCAUCGGCUUUGACCGGGUAGCCCUUUCCGGUGGCCAAGAAUACCUCUUGCGUGCCGCGUGCCCGCUCCCAUUGCCUAUCAGGGACUUAACCUUUGGGUUUGGCCACUGCCAAAGCUCUCUUCUCCGCCUUUCAAUUCCGCUUGCCGUAGGUACCUCAUCAGCGGGUGAUUCCGCCGUAGAUAGUCCUCUCGGAAGGUGCAAGGGAUGUGCGUCUGGCUGGAAUUUGGCAGACCCCGGCUGUGCUGCGGGCCAUAGCUAUGCUGUAUCGCUAAGUCUACAAUGUGGCGUCCAGUCCGCUGCAGGGACAUAAUGUCAGCAGCCCCCUCAUUCAUAUGCGCCGAAUCAAACGCUGGGCUUCAGCUUCGACACACAAGUCUUAUGCACCCUACGCUGCCACAAGCUGAGUCCUAUCAGAUUUGUUCACGCCAACGGAAUCCUAUUUAAGCAUUACCGAGGCGUAUUCGAGGCAGACCGAGUGCUACCCCAGCAAGACAGAAUAGUUUCCCAGAAGGACAGAAGCGCAUCCCUUGCAAUCGCCAUCGACAACUAUCUGAAGGACUUUGGCUAUGGCAAACAAGGGAGUGGCUACGCGGACUACCAGACAUUUUUAUGACCUACGACAUUCGUAGGUGCAUACAUUACCGAUAUUGUCUUCGCUCCUGCUCCAUACGUUACUUCAUCGGCUUUGACCGGGUAGCCCUUUCCGGUGGCCAAGAAUACCUCUUGCGUGCCGCGUGCCCGCUCCCAUUGCCUAUCAGGGACUUAACCUUUGGGUUUGGCCACUGCCAAAGCUCUCUUCUCCGCCUUUCAAUUCCGCUUGCCGUAGGUACCUCAUCAGCGGGUGAUUCCGCCGUAGAUAGUCCUCUCGGAAGGUGCAAGGGAUGUGCGUCUGGCUGGAAUUUGGCAGACCCCGGCUGUGCUGCGGGCCAUAGCUAUGCUGUAUCGCUAAGUCUACAAUGUGGCGUCCAGUCCGCUGCAGGGACAUAAUGUCAGCAGCCCCCUCAUUCAUAUGCGCCGAAUCAAACGCUGGGCUUCAGCUUCGACACACUCUUAUGCACCCUACGCUCCGCUGCCACAAGCUGAGUCCUAUCAGAUUUGUUCACGCCAGACGGAAUCCUAUUUAAGCAUUACCGAGGCGUAUUCGAGGCAGACCGAGUGCUACCCCAGCAAGACAGAAUAGUUUCCCAGAAGGACAGAAGCGCAUCCCUUGCAAUCGCCAUCGACAACUAUCUGAAGGACUUUGGCUAUGGCAAACAAGGGAGUGGCUACGCGGACUA
This 1418-nucleotide small RNA is filed under the name Drosophila pseudoobscura pseudoobscura. RNAcentral describes it as "GA31253". Lineage: Eukaryota; Metazoa; Arthropoda; Insecta; Diptera; Drosophilidae. The record is from RNAcentral.